RNAcentral lists this ribosomal RNA (427 nucleotides) under uncultured Borrelia sp. Its description in RNAcentral is "bacterial SSU rRNA". It matches the Rfam family "Bacterial small subunit ribosomal RNA", at positions 353 to 772 of the family's 1533-position model. Lineage: Bacteria; Pseudomonadati; Spirochaetota; Spirochaetia; Spirochaetales; Borreliaceae. The record is from RNAcentral.
AGCUAAGAAUCUUCCGCAAUGGGCGAAAGCCUGACGGAGCGACACCGCGUGAGUGAUGAAGGCUGUAAAGUUGUAAAGCUCUUUUCUUGUCGAAGAAUAAGCUUUGUGCGCAAGUGUAAAGUGAUGACAUUAAGCAAGGAAUAAGCCCCGGCUAAUUACGUGCCAGCAGCCGCGGUAAUACGUAAGGGGCGAGCGUUGUUCGGAUUUAUUGGGCGUAAAGGGUAUGUAGGCGGAUACGAAGGCAUUACAAUAAAGAUCGUAGCUCAACUACGGUGUAUUGCAAUGAACCACUUAUCUUGAGUCGUGGAGAGGGAACUAGAAUUCCUGGUGUAGGGGUGAAAUCCAUAGAUAUCAGGAAGAAUACCGGAGGCGAAGGCGAGUUCCUAGCCAAUGACUGACGCUGAUGUACGAAAGCAUAGGUAGCGAA